RNAcentral lists this long non-coding RNA (882 nucleotides) under Sorghum bicolor (sorghum). RNAcentral describes it as "long non-coding RNA (SBIC_LNC002826)". The record is from RNAcentral. Lineage: Eukaryota; Viridiplantae; Streptophyta; Magnoliopsida; Poales; Poaceae.
UUGUUACUAUGUUCACAUUUCAAGAGUACCAUGUGUACAACAAAGUUCUUCUCUUUGCAUGAAAAAUUUAGCUAUGUAAACUUACCCCUAUUACCUUAGUCCCUUAUGGGGCUUAUGGCUUUUCCUUUGUCUUAGGUGGUUGAGAGACAGAACAGUUUGACUUGAGCACUAACUUUCUCAUUCUUAGCAAGUUUCAUAUCAGAGGUUUUGUGAUAUUUUCAAAAGAAAGCUUAAAUGUUCCUCUUAUGGUUCUCUCAUGUCACUCAAAUGGUGUAUGAUUCCUCACCAAGGCAUAUGGUAAGAGUUGCCUUCUCUAUUUCAUCCUAUUUCUAAAAGGCUUAUGUGGAGUUCAAGGUAGGGAUGAAAGGAGAUAGCAUACUUACUUUGCAUGUAUUGCGAAGUCAAAGCUCGGAUCCUUGAAGAGAAGUGUCAUACUCCCAGAUCAAGAUGUGCAAGUGUGGACUAGGUUGCUCCUUUAUUUGAUAGACUCUCUAUGUAUUGAGACAUGGCUAGCAUUUUUUUCUUCUUUCUUUUUUUUUAUAUAUGGGCUUUCAUGUGCUCAAUUUUCUUUUUCUGUGGACUUGCACAUGUCCAUCUUUUUAUUUCAUUUUGCCUAGCCUUUUGAUGUCUCAUUUACCAAAUAAUGCUUAGAGAGAUGUUCUAACAUUUAGAGUAUGGAGCAACCUAUUUAGUGGAUGCGAAAUACAUGUGGUUGCGUACUUCCAGUGUAGAAGCAGCAUAUAUAUAUGUGGUGUGUACGUGAUCUUGAUCUUAGGAGCAUGAAAAGUCUCUUAACAAGGGUCAACAAGACUUGACGACACUCAACCCAAAGCAAAUAGCUUAUGUGGAAAGGUUGCAAUUAUGUAAAGUAGAUAUGGCUGU